Molecule: ribosomal RNA, 253 nt
Filed under: uncultured bacterium
Lineage: Bacteria
Description: partial 16S ribosomal RNA
Rfam family: Bacterial small subunit ribosomal RNA
Source: RNAcentral
UACGUAGGGUGCAGGCGUUAAUCGGAAUUACUGGGCGUAAAGCGUGCGCAGGCGGUUUGCUAAGACAGGUGUGAAAUCCCCGGACUUAACCUGGGAACUGCGCUUGUUACUGGCAAGCUGGAGUGUGGCAGAGGGGGGUGGAAUUCCACGUGUAGCAGUGAAAUGCGUAGAGAUGUGGAGGAACACCGAUGGCGAAGGCAGCCCCCUGGGCUAACACUGACGCUCAUGCACGAAAGCGUGGGGAGCAAACAGG